GAACGCUGGCGGCGUGCUUAACACAUGCAAGUCGAACGGGGCGAAGUGAUAGCUUGCUAUUAUGGAGCCUAGUGGCAAACGGGUGAGUAACGCGUAGGCAACCUGCCCUUCAGAUGGGGACAACACCUCGAAAGGGGUGCUAAUACCGAAUGACGUUUCCUGGUCGCAUGACCUGGAAACCAAAGGCUGGGCAACCGGUCACUGAAGGAUGGGCCUGCGUCUGAUUAGCUAGUUGGUGGGGUAACGGCCCACCAAGGCGACGAUCAGUAGCCGGUCUGAGAGGAUGAACGGCCACAUUGGGACUGAGACACGGCCCAAACUCCUACGGGAGGCAGCAGUGGGGAAUCUUCCGCAAUGGGCGCAAGCCUGACGGAGCAACGCCGCGUGAGUGAAGAAGGUUUUCGGAUCGUAAAGCUCUGUUGAGAGGGACGAGAGAUAUAAUCAGGAAAUGGGUUAUAGAGGACGGUACCUUUCGAGGAAGCCACGGCUAACUACGUG
Molecule: ribosomal RNA, 498 nt
Filed under: uncultured bacterium
Lineage: Bacteria
Description: bacterial SSU rRNA
Rfam family: Bacterial small subunit ribosomal RNA
Source: RNAcentral